Non-coding RNA from Angiostrongylus cantonensis (rat lungworm), 72 nucleotides. The record is from Rfam. Lineage: Eukaryota; Metazoa; Nematoda; Chromadorea; Rhabditida; Metastrongylidae.
GGUCCCGUGGUGUAGCGGUUAGCACUCAGGAAUCUGAAUCCUGCGACGGGGGUUCAAAUCUUUCUGGGACCU